UAAUACGAAGGGUGCAAGCGUUAUCCGGAUUCAUUGGGUUUAAAGGGUGCGUAGGUGGGGCGUUAAGUCAGUGGUGAAAGCCUACAGCUCAACUGUAGAAUUGCCAUUGAUACUGGCGCUCUUGAGUGCGCUUGAAGUAGGCGGAAUGUGCCGUGUAGCGGUGAAAUGCUUAGAUAUGGCACAGAACACCAAUUGCGAAGGCAGCUUACUAAGGCGAUACUGACACUGAGGCACGAAAGCGUGGGGAUCGAACAGG
Molecule: ribosomal RNA, 256 nt
Filed under: uncultured bacterium
Lineage: Bacteria
Description: partial 16S ribosomal RNA
Rfam family: Bacterial small subunit ribosomal RNA
Source: RNAcentral